This 1285-nucleotide ribosomal RNA is filed under the name Helicobacter sp. RNAcentral describes it as "16S ribosomal RNA". It matches the Rfam family "Bacterial small subunit ribosomal RNA", at positions 202 to 1515 of the family's 1533-position model. The record is from RNAcentral. Lineage: Bacteria; Pseudomonadati; Campylobacterota; Epsilonproteobacteria; Campylobacterales; Helicobacteraceae.
AAGAGUCUCCGCUAAAGGAUCAGCCUAUGUCCUAUCAGCUUGUUGGUGAGGUAAUGGCUCACCAAGGCUAUGACGGGUAUCCGGCCUGAGAGGGUGAUCGGACACACUGGAACUGAGACACGGUCCAGACUCCUACGGGAGGCAGCAGUAGGGAAUAUUGCUCAAUGGGGGAAACCCUGAAGCAGCAACGCCGCGUGGAGGAUGAAGGUUUUAGGAUUGUAAACUCCUUUUGUGAGAGAAGAUUAUGACGGUAUCUCACGAAUAAGCACCGGCUAACUCCGUGCCAGCAGCCGCGGUAAUACGGAGGGUGCAAGCGUUACUCGGAAUCACUGGGCGUAAAGAGUGCGCAGGCGGGGUGGUAAGUCAGAUGUGAAAUCCUGUAGCUUAACUACAGAACUGCAUUUGAAACUAUCACUCUAGAGUAUGGGAGAGGUAGGUGGAAUUCUUGGUGUAGGGGUAAAAUCCGUAGAGAUCAAGAGGAAUACUCAUUGCGAAGGCGACCUACUGGAACAUUACUGACGCUCAUGCACGAAAGCGUGGGGAGCAAACAGGAUUAGAUACCCUGGUAGUCCACGCCCUAAACGAUGAAUGCUAGUUGUUGCCCUGCUUGUCAGGGCAGUAAUGCAGCUAACGCAUUAAGCAUUCCGCCUGGGGAGUACGGUCGCAAGAUUAAAACUCAAAGGAAUAGACGGGGACCCGCACAAGCGGUGGAGCAUGUGGUUUAAUUCGAAGAUACGCGAAGAACCUUACCUAGGCUUGACAUUGAUAGAAUCCUAUAGAGAUAUGGGAGUGCCCUUCGGGGAGCUUGAAAACAGGUGCUGCACGGCUGUCGUCAGCUCGUGUCGUGAGAUGUUGGGUUAAGUCCCGCAACGAGCGCAACCCUCGUCCUUAGUUGCUAGCAGCUCGGCUGAGCACUCUAAGGAGACUGCCUUCGUAAGGAGGAGGAAGGUGAGGACGACGUCAAGUCAUCAUGGCCCUUACGCCUAGGGCUACACACGUGCUACAAUGGGGCAUACAAUGAGGAGCAAUACCGCGAGGUGGAGCAAAUCUCUAAAAUGUCUCUCAGUUCGGAUUGUAGUCUGCAACUCGACUACAUGAAGCUGGAAUCGCUAGUAAUCGCAAAUCAGCAAUGUUGCGGUGAAUACGUUCCCGGGUCUUGUACUCACCGCCCGUCACACCAUGGGAGUUGUAUUCGCCUUAAGUCGGGAUACUAAAUUGGUUACCGCCCACGGCGGAUGCAGCGACUGGGGUGAAGUCGUAACAAGGUAACCGUAGGUGAACCUGC